GACUGCUAUCGGAUUGAUACUAAGCCAUGCGAGUCUUUGUAGUAAUACAAGGCAGACGGCUCAGUAACGCGUAGUCAACCUACCCUAUGGACGGGAAUAACCUCGGGAAACUGAGUAUAAUGCCCGAUAGAACAUUAUGCCUGGAAUGGUUUAUGUUCCAAAUGAUUUAUCGCCGUAGGAUGGGACUGCGGCCUAUCAGUUUGUUGGUGAGGUAAUGGCCCACCAAGGCGAUUACAGGUACGGGCUCUGAGAGGAGUAGCCCGGAGAUGGGUACUGAGACACGGACCCAGGCCCUAUGGGGCGCAGCAGGCGAGAAAACUUUGCAAUGUGCGAAAGCACGACAAGGUUAAUCCGAGUGGUUUCUGCUAAAGGAACCUUUUGUUAGUCCUAAAAACACUAACGAAUAAGGGGUGGGCAAGUUCUGGUGUCAGCCGCCGCGGUAAAACCAGCACCUCAAGUGGUCAGGAUGAUUAUUGGGCCUAAAGCAUCCGUAGCCUGCUCUGUAAGUUUUCGGUUAAAUCUGUAUGCUCAACAUACAGGCCGCCGGGAAUACUGCAGGGCUAGGGAGUGGGAGAGGUAGACGGUACUCGGGAGGAAGUGGUAAAAUGCUUUGAUCUCUCGAUGACCACCUGUGGCGAAGGCGGUCUACCAGAACACGUCCGACGGUGAGGGAUGAAAGCUGGGGGAGCAAACCGGAUUAGAUACCCGGGUAGUCCCAGCCGUAAACUAUGCAAACUCAGUGAUGCAUUGGCUUGUGGCCAAUGCAGUGUUGCAGGGAAGCCGUUAAGUUUGCCGCCUGGGAAGUACGUACGCAAGUAUGAAACUU
RNAcentral lists this ribosomal RNA (826 nucleotides) under uncultured marine group I thaumarchaeote. RNAcentral's name for it is "SSU rRNA". It matches the Rfam family "Archaeal small subunit ribosomal RNA", at positions 25 to 857 of the family's 1478-position model. The record is from RNAcentral. Lineage: Archaea; Thermoproteati; Nitrososphaerota.